UGUUGCCGCUUAUCCUCCUUCUCACCCUCAGUGGUCUCGGUGUUCACACAAACCAAAGUGUGUUUGAAUGUUGUUUUUCCCCUGCCAGUUUUUUCAGAGGUGCUCAUGUGUGGUUAUCGAUGUUUUCUUUCGUCUCUUUAUGAUUUUAGUGGUUGUUUAUUUGCAAUCCAGAUCGUCGCGGUACGAAAGAAAAACGGACGUGCCCUAUAGGUUAGAAG
Molecule: ribosomal RNA, 218 nt
Filed under: Triticum aestivum (bread wheat)
Lineage: Eukaryota; Viridiplantae; Streptophyta; Magnoliopsida; Poales; Poaceae
Description: partial small subunit ribosomal RNA
Source: RNAcentral